Molecule: long non-coding RNA, 3310 nt
Organism: Equus caballus (horse)
Lineage: Eukaryota; Metazoa; Chordata; Mammalia; Perissodactyla; Equidae
Source: RefSeq, a predicted model, not a curated record
CAGAACCAAAGAAACUGCCAAAGGCUCUUUCUCUGUCUAACACCCAUUACACAAUGCAACAUUGUUUGUCAAGCUAUUGAGUUCUUUAUCUGGGGACUCUGUGGAUAAUCAUCUUUCAAGAUAAGGAUCUUUUGGAAGAACGUGUUGGUUCAGGUGACCUAAGUUGCGAUCCCAACUCUUCCUCUUCCUGGCUCUGUGAGGGCUGGUCAGACUGUAAGUUCCAUGAAGACAGCAAACCUGUCUACCUGGCCCACGGUUGUAUUCUCGGAUACGAGCAUAGAAACUGGUAUAUAGCCGAGAUGCAGACGUGAUGCUGGUGAGCUGCUCCAACCAUGCUCAUGAGGACAGCACCCUAGAGCAUGGACCGGGAGAUGGAAGGAAUCUUAUUUAUGGGAAGCCCUUACAGAAGGAGCCACCGUCCAGCCUUGGACAGAUAGUCACUGCAUUUGACAAAUGGCACUCUCAAGGAUUUAAUGAAUGAGACGCUGACCAGGAAACACAGAAGUGGUCCUAAAUUUUCUCCUGUGACUGGAUGUUUUGCUGAAACAUGAAUGUGGCACAGCAACAUGAUAGCACUUUCUGAAGCCCGUAAUGCUGGAGUGGCGAUCUACAAGAAUCUGACAAGAGCAACCUGCACUGGGGCACAUGUGACUGUUAUUAUAUCUUAAAGUUAUGGCCAUGUAAAUGUGCAACAUGACCAAAGUUGAAGCGCCUCGGCAUUUCACUUCACCAGAACGCCUGUAUUUCCCCAUGUGUAGCACAAAAUCACCCGUGAAUACACUGUCUAUGUGUUUUCGUUUCUCUUCAUGGGCAAUGUUAUAGCUGCCAUGUUGCGCUAAAAUUACAUGACAGCAAUCUUAACUUUCUGACACUGGUUUGCUGUUCAGUGAAACAUCCUAGUGGAGAAAUUGGCUGAGAAUGACGGUGGCUGAUUUGUAAUUCUCUUGGGGCUCACUCUUGGCCUUUGCCUAGGCUGGUGGAUUUGCUGAAUAUACCUACAGUCCUGCUUGUGGAGCAUAUUCUCAAACUUUAGAGUAGACCACAAUUCCUUGGGUGGUGUCUGUCUAAAAUGCACCUUCCUAGACCUCACACGCAGAUGUGCUGAUUUAGGCCUGGAGUAGAAUUGAACAAUGAGCGUUUUUUAACAAGACCCAUGGAUGAUUCUGAGGCAGGUGGUCCACAGAUUCCGCCUUGAGUAGACCAUUAGCUUAGCACCACAGGGAGAUGCAGGGAAGUGGAAAUCGUGGUCUCUGCGAUUGAUGCAUGUAAACAGAAGAGAGAAGGUAAAGACAUUUACGACAUGCAAAUGAUCAAGGAGCCCCUAAAAAAGGCCAACAUUUAUUGAGUGCUUACUGUGUUCCAGGCAUAUGUAUUAACUGAUUUCAUUCUCAGUGCUGGGUUCUGUAACUAGCUUCAUUUACACUUAAGAAAUCAAGGCAGAGAGAAGUUAAUUAUCUUGCCUAGAAUCAUAAAGCUAUUAAGUAACAGGAUUGGUUUUGAGCAGGCAGGUCUGCCCCUAAAGCACUUAUUCUAACUCCAGCUCUGCACAGCCUCCAGCUGGUAUGCUUUGCUUCCAGAAUCCAAACUUGCCAAGUAUGUAAAUUGGUGUUUGUUUAUCGUGUGUGGGUAUGAAAAUUCAUAUGAGAAAAGCAUUGUCUCAAAGUUUUCCUUUAAGAAUGAAUUCUUAUUUUUUAAACAAAAGGGUUAAUUUAUGAUUGCAGUUGUAUUAAAAACUCAAACACACACUGUAAUAAAUUCUAGCCAGGCACUACACUUAACACUGGGGAUAUAGAAAUAAAGGUCUCUUGGGGAGCUUAUUGUGUAAAGAGAUAAAAAGAGCUGGUCACAGUCCAGGAUAAUAUACCAGACAAUCUACAGCUUGGUAUUGGUAAUUGGUACAAUGGAGAGCAGCAUAGCUUUUGGCGGAAGCACAGGGCAGUAGGAGUGGGAGGUUGUGGUGUCCAACCAUUGGUUGGAUCUAGGUUAGGCUACUCUAGGAGACUUCACGAAAGAAGUAUGACCUAAGCGGCAUUUGGAGAAUGUGCUAUAGAGUCCAUGAAAAUCUAAGAGCUUGCCAUGUGAUCCAUCCUCCUUUAAGGAAGCUCUUUCUAUAGAUUUGCCAUGCUUUAUGGCACGUGACUCUGUAACUCUGGUCAUAACUUCCUAGAUCAGGGAAGUGCCCAGCUCAAAGGCAAUUGUUUAGAAAGAAGGUAAUAGUUUGUUCAUUUGGGGAAUGUGAGUGGAAGAUGAACCUAGGAAGCAAUGGACAACUGUGUUUGUGGCAAUGACAUGAUGUCAAGGUACUGCUACUCAAAGCAUGAUCCAUGGAUCUGUGCUGAUCCAUGAACUCUCUGUUACAAGUACGUGAAGAGAUAAGUGCUGAAAUUGAGAGUAAGAGUAAAAAUUUUCGUAGUGAUUGAGCAUUGCCAGAACAUCCAAGAGCAGGUCUAAUGGCUGUAUUAAUUUAUCUGUUAAUGCAAAACAAAUUAUCCCCAAACUUAGUGGCUUUAAACAGCAAUAAAUGUUCCUUAUUUCACACAAUUUCUGUAGUUCUGGAAAUCAGGAUCUGCUUAGCUGUUGUUUCUGGCCUGGUUUCUCCUGAGUUUGCUGUCAAGGUGUUGGCUGGGGCGGCAGUCAUCUGAAGGGUAGACCAGGGCAGGAGAUCCACUUCCAAGAUGACUCACUCCUAUGCCUUUUGGCAGAAGACCUCAGAUCCUUUCCACGUGGACUGUUCCACAGAGCUGCGUCAGCCUCCUCAUGACAUGGCAGCUGGCUUCUCCAGAGCUAGUGAUCCAAAAGAGAAGUUGCAACACUUUUCAUGACUAGUCUCAGAAGUCACACACGGUAAGUUCUGCCACAUUCUAUUCAUUAGAAGCAAGUCACUAAGUACAGCCCACACUCAAGGAGAGAGCAGUUGGACUCCACCUUCUGAUGAGAGGAGUGUCAAAAAGUUUGUGGAUAUUUUUAAAAACCACCACAGUGUACAUAUCUUUUAAAACAGAUUAUAGACAAAUUUGCGUGUUGUGGAACAUGCAUAUCAAGUUGCGUGUGGCGAGGACUGUGGAGUAGUCAUGUACGGUUGGAAAACUUAUUCCACAAAAUUGUGGAUACUUAAGAAAUGGUCCUUUACCAUUUACCAGGGAUAGAUUUAGAAGCACUAGUCUAGAGCCUUGUAUCCUACUCUUCAAAGACUUUUGCUCAGAUAACCCCAAAAGAAUUUUGAAAAUCUAUGUACCGUCUGUUACAUAUUUUAAAAUUAACGCUAAAAAACUUUGUCAUAAUUAAAAAAAUUUAAAGAAUAUAAUUUCUG